UGCAAUUUUGAAAUCAAAUCUUGCCUGGCAAGAAAAUCUACUGUGAUGGAAAAAUAAGUUUAUUCUCAAAAGCCUGUCUAAAAGCAUUGACUUUUAAAGAACAUUAAAGCCCAUUAGCUGUGAAAUGGAGGCAUUAUCUAAUCUCUGGAACUCAAGACUUGAGAUCACAACAACUGGUAGGAGCCUUUGUGGGAAUGGUUUUUUGGAGUUAUAAAGUUUACAUGGAGUUUCCUGCCACAAAAUCAGGACUACAGCAAUCUAGAAAUAAAAGUCAUAUUAUCCAUACAUAUGAUCGGAAUUUUCAUCUAAAUUUCACUUUUACAGUUUGGAAAAUGCUAGUCUUUCUGAUCAGGGCUUUCAGACACUGUUAAGAAUUACAAGAAACUGUAUUCAUAAAUAACACCAUUUUCAAAAUAUAUGUGUCCUUUGAAUAAUAGAAGCUUAGUGGAUAUUCAUUUGGUCUUAGUCACUGAGGCUUACAGUAAACCUUUUGGAAGGGAUGGGGCAGGGGUAAGGGAUCGGGGUGGUUCAGGUAGCAUAGGUUAUGGAAUGGCCAGUGCUGAGAACAUACAGAUGUGGGCAUGAAGACUGGCAUUUCACUUUUCCUAUUGUGUGUGUUUUAAAUUUUUUUUCAAAAAAUCAGAUUUACUAAGGUAUAAUUUAUAUACAAUAAAAUACAUAUGUUUCAGUGUUUAAUGCUAUUUGUGUUUGACAAAUGCAUAUGUUCCUUGGUACUUUUGUGUGCUUCAUCUAUGGAUCCAAGCAACCAUGAAUCAAAAAUAUUUAGAAAAAAAUUACAUCUGUACUCAACAAGCACAGAUUUUUUUCCCCUGUGGUUAUUCCCUAAACAGUAUAGUAUAGCAGCUAUUUCCAUUGCAUUAGAGAUGAUUUAAAGCCUAUGAAAGGAUGUGUGUAAGUUCUAUGCAAAUAUUAUUUUGUAUACAAAACUAGAGCAUCUGUGGAUUUUGGUAUUUGAUAUUUGUGUAGUCAUAUGACAGUGUCUGUCCAUUUACCAGUUGAAGAGCUGUUAGGUUGUGUCCUAUUUAUAGCAAUUAUGUAUAAAGUUGGAAUAAACAUGUGAAUACAUUUGUUUUUAUUUCUCUUGGGUAAGUACCAAGAAGUGGAAUUGCUAGGUCAUAUGGCAAGUACAUGUUCAUCUUUGUAAGAAGCUACAGAACUAUUUCCUAAAAUGGCUAUAACAUGUUGCAUUUCCAUAAACAAUAAAAAAGUGCCAGUUUUUUACAUCCUUGUCAGUCCUUCAUUUUUUCAGGGUGAGUUUUCUUAUCCCAUUCUAAUUGUAUGUAAAAAUGUAUCUUAUUGUGG
This 1323-nucleotide long non-coding RNA is filed under the name Marmota monax (woodchuck). The record is from RNAcentral. Lineage: Eukaryota; Metazoa; Chordata; Mammalia; Rodentia; Sciuridae.